GGGCCCGCACAAGCGGUGGAGCAUGUGGUUUAAUUCGAUGCAACGCGAAAAACCUUACCAGGCCUUGACAUCCAGAGAACUUACCAGAGAUGGUUCGGUGCCUUCGGGAACUCUGUGACAGGUGUUGCAUGGCUGUCGUCAGCUCGUGUCGUGAGAUGUUGGGUUAAGUCCCGUAACGAGCGCAACCCUUAUCCUUACUUGCCAGCACGUAAUGGUGGGAACUUUAAGGAGACUGCCGGUGACAAACCGGAGGAAGGAGAGGAUGAUGUCAAGUCAUCAUGGCCCUUACGGCCUGGGCUACACACGUGCUACAAUGGGAAGUACAAAGGGUCGCAAUACCGCGAGGUGGAGCAAAUCCCAAAAAACUUUUCGUAGUCCGGAUUGGAGUCUGCAACUCGACUCCAUGAAGUCGGAAUC
This 417-nucleotide ribosomal RNA is filed under the name uncultured bacterium. RNAcentral describes it as "bacterial SSU rRNA". It matches the Rfam family "Bacterial small subunit ribosomal RNA", at positions 917 to 1333 of the family's 1533-position model. The record is from RNAcentral.